GCAAUUUUCAAAAAAGAAAUAAUAAAGCUCGGUUUUUCUUAUCCUAUUUAGAAGGGCCAAUUUGAUCCAGUUCGCCGCGCAGACGCACAAUCACGACUGGACUCUUUCUUUAUCAAAUCUCGGACAUCAGUUCCGUUUUCGCGUUUUGAUUUUGAAGAAGCUUAAAAUCUUUUUAGUUUUGAAGAAGGAGAUUGAAAUUAGGGAGAACAGACUAAUGGGGAUCCCAUCAGAAAUUAGAGAUUACUUGGCUCAGACGCUGAGGAGCAAAAAGUAUAAUACUUCCUUUGUGAUACCUUCUCCAGCUGAGGAUCAGAGGAUUUUGGAAUCUAAACGUUGCACUCAAGAAGGUGUUCGUGCCGGAACCAAGGCUGCUGCUAUUACUUGUGUUGUCACUGCCAUCCCUACUUUGACUGCUGUACGUGUGAUUCCUUGGGCAAAGGCAAAUCUCAAUUAUACUGCUCAAGCACUCAUCAUCUCAGCUGCAUCAAUUGCUGCAUAUUUCAUCACUGCUGACAAGACUAUCUUGGAGUGUGCAAGAAGAAAUGCUCAAUAUGACAAAACAACUUGAGAUAAUAAAUGUUUUUCUCACAAUUUUAUGUUACAAUCAUGUGUAAAAUGCCAGGAAUAAGGAAUUUCUCACUCUGUUUAUUCUCACUAUUGUGUUUUUACCAGGAGUCUAUUGUAUCUAUGGUAAGAUUAAACUUCUUCUCGCCAAGAUGUCUUUUACUAAUUUGGCUGUAAUGCU
This 745-nucleotide unclassified non-coding RNA is filed under the name Hevea brasiliensis (rubber tree). The record is from RNAcentral. Lineage: Eukaryota; Viridiplantae; Streptophyta; Magnoliopsida; Malpighiales; Euphorbiaceae.